This is a long non-coding RNA of Prinia subflava (tawny-flanked prinia), 497 nucleotides long. RefSeq lists it as uncharacterized. The record is from RefSeq and is a predicted model, not a curated record. The transcript is spliced from 2 exons. NCBI's taxonomy places the organism in Eukaryota, Metazoa, Chordata, Aves, Passeriformes, Cisticolidae.
UAUUCUACAACCAAUUACAAACCUAGGCAAACAAAGUCUAAACAAGACAAUAACUAAAGCAUAGAAAUCUUAACACACAGAGUUCUAAUGAAACAGCAAACAAAGCACAGAAUUCCUAACAAGCAGAACUAGUAAGACUAUAAGCAAAGCACAUAUCUGACAUUACAGCCUCUAGGUAAAUCAGCCUCCCAUCUGACCCCAAGCAGGAUUUUCCAACCGUGGGCUGUCACGAGCCAAAGGAUGGUCGUGAUGGUUCGUUUUGAUUUCAGAGUGCAAAAAGAGGCAGUGAUAACUUAAUUCAAGUGAAAUCAAUUGUAUCUUUAUUGAUACACACAGUUAUGCGAUAGAAAAGAAGGGGAAAGAAGAGAGGGAGAGAGAGAGGGAGAGAAAGGGGGGUAAAGAAAGGGUAUAGCUACCAACUGACAGACGGGGGUCCUCGUGACGCCGAUGCCAACAGACCACCUUCGCAGUCUCCGUGGCACGUAGGUCAAUAGAGC